UACGUAGGCCAAGAGCGUUGUUCUUAUUUACUGGGCGUAAAGGGCGCGUAGGCGGCGUGGCGUGUCAAGUGUGAAAUCUCCGGGCCCAACCCGGAAAGUGCGCUUGAAACUACCACGCCCGAGUGCGGAAGGGGGAAUCGGAAUACAGGGUGUAGCGGUGAAAUGCGUUGAUAUCCUGUAGAACACCGGAGGCGAAGGCGGAUUCCUUGUACGCAACUGACGCUGAGGCGCGAAAGCCGGGGGAGCAAAC
Molecule: ribosomal RNA, 250 nt
Filed under: uncultured prokaryote
Description: partial 16S ribosomal RNA
Rfam family: Bacterial small subunit ribosomal RNA
Source: RNAcentral